Molecule: ribosomal RNA, 440 nt
Filed under: uncultured bacterium
Lineage: Bacteria
Description: partial 16S ribosomal RNA
Rfam family: Bacterial small subunit ribosomal RNA
Source: RNAcentral
CCUACGGGAGGCAGCAGUGGGGGAUAUUGCACAAUGGGGGGAACCCUGAUGCAGCGACGCCGCGUGGGUGAAGAAGCGCCUCGGCGCGUAAAGCCCUGUCAGCAGGGAAGAAAAUGACGGUACCUGAAGAAGAAGCCCCGGCUAACUACGUGCCAGCAGCCGCGGUAAUACGUAGGGGGCAAGCGUUAUCCGGAUUUACUGGGUGGAAAGGGGGCGCAGACGGCGAUGCAAGCCAGGAGUGAAAGCCCGGGGCCCAACCCCGGGACGGCUCGUGGAACUGCGUGGCUGGAGGGCAGGAGGGGCAGGCGGAAGUCCUGGUGGAGCGGUGAAAUGCGUAGAUAGCAGGAGGAACACCGGUGGCGAAGGCGGCCUGCUGGACUGCAACUGACGUUGAGGCCCGAAAGCGUGGGGAGCAAACAGGAUUAGAUACCCGAGUAGUC